Melospiza melodia melodia is the source of this 449-nucleotide long non-coding RNA. RefSeq lists it as uncharacterized. The record is from RefSeq and is a predicted model, not a curated record. The transcript has 2 exons. NCBI's taxonomy places the organism in Eukaryota, Metazoa, Chordata, Aves, Passeriformes, Passerellidae.
CGGCCCGGCCCUGAGGGCAGCGCGGGGAUCCCGGGGCGGCGGGCCCGGCUGGCCGGUCCUGUGGGGAAAUCGUCAUUCACGGUAACCCGGGCUCGCCCCACAACGCCCACGGUGCUUUUCCUUCGGGGGGGAAAGGCGGGGUGAUGCUGCCAAUGUCUCUGAAGGCUUCCCGCAGGUGGAUCCAGGUCACCUCUGUGGUCCCUUCCAGCCUGGAUUACUGUGUGCUCCCCUGGAGCUCAUCCUGAGAGCUGAGGGAGCAGCAGGUGAUGCUCAGCAGCAGACUUGGACACUAACAGAAGUUCCUCAGAGAUCCUGGUAUUGAUAACCACAUAAGCUCUGUGUUCACCAUUGAAUGGGAUCUAAUUUUCAUUCUUAAUUUAUAUUUAUCUCAUGUGUAGAGUGUGAAACCUCCAGACUACAUCUAACAUGACUUUCUUUAUGUACCACCA